AAAAAUUUAGUUAAUAUCAUAUAACAUUAACUUGUCAAGUUAAAAUAAUCUAAAAGAUAAUUUUUA
This 66-nucleotide transfer RNA is filed under the name Trichogomphus mongol. RNAcentral's name for it is "tRNA-Asp". Lineage: Eukaryota; Metazoa; Arthropoda; Insecta; Coleoptera; Scarabaeidae. The record is from RNAcentral.